AUACGAGUUCUCGUAAGAUCACCGAAAUUAAGCAACGUCCAGCCUGAUUAGUACUUAGAUGGGUAACCGUUUGGAAUUACCACGUGUUACAAG
Non-coding RNA from Acanthosepion pharaonis, 93 nucleotides. NCBI's taxonomy places the organism in Eukaryota, Metazoa, Mollusca, Cephalopoda, Sepiida, Sepiidae. The record is from the annotation of a GenBank genome assembly.